Molecule: transfer RNA, 72 nt
Filed under: Methanosarcinales archaeon
Lineage: Archaea; Methanobacteriati; Methanobacteriota; Methanomicrobia; Methanosarcinales
Description: tRNA-Gly
Rfam family: tRNA
About the family: Transfer RNA (tRNA) molecules are approximately 80 nucleotides in length.
Source: RNAcentral
GCGGCUGUGGUCUAGGGGUUAGGACAUGGGCUUCCCAAGCCCAUUACUCGGGUUCGAAUCCCGACAGCCGCA